AAUGAACGUUGGCGGCAUGGAUUAGGCAUGCAAGUCGAGCGAGAAGUCGUUUUUUUGCUUGCAUUAAAGACGGACAGCGGCGAAAGGGAGAGUAACGCGUAGAAAUGUACCCCAAGGUCUGGGAUAGCGGUGGGAAACCGCCAGUAAUACCGGAUAAUGUCUCCGGACCAAAGUUUUUCGCCUUGGGAGCAGUCUGCGUACUAUUAGCUUGUUGGUGGGGUAAUGGCCUACCAAGGCUUAGAUGGUUAGCGGGCGUGAGAGCGUGGCCCGUCUCACUGGGACUGAGACACUGCCCAGACACCUACGGGUGGCUGCAGUCGAGAAUCUUCCGCAAUGGGCGAAAGCCUGACGGAGCAAUGCCGCGUGGUGGAUGAAGGCCUUCGGGUUGUAAACACCUGUCAGUAGGGAGGAAAUUUUGACCGAUCUACAGAGGAAGUCCGGGCUAAGUACGUG
This 453-nucleotide ribosomal RNA is filed under the name uncultured bacterium. RNAcentral's name for it is "bacterial SSU rRNA". It matches the Rfam family "Bacterial small subunit ribosomal RNA", at positions 29 to 507 of the family's 1533-position model. The record is from RNAcentral.